Trichonephila inaurata madagascariensis is the source of this 74-nucleotide non-coding RNA. Lineage: Eukaryota; Metazoa; Arthropoda; Arachnida; Araneae; Nephilidae. The record is from the annotation of a GenBank genome assembly.
GAAGGGAUAGCUCAGUGGUAGAGCAUUCGACCGCAGAUCGAGGGUUCCCCGGUUCAAUGGGGGAGUCUUCUUCU